Molecule: long non-coding RNA, 491 nt
Organism: Danaus plexippus (monarch butterfly)
Lineage: Eukaryota; Metazoa; Arthropoda; Insecta; Lepidoptera; Nymphalidae
Exons: 2
Source: RefSeq, a predicted model, not a curated record
UUAAUUAAAUGAGUAUUAAUUAAACGUUAAACCAUUUUCCGCCUUGCCCGAGUUAAUGAUGAUUUUCCAUCGCAUAGCUAUUAAAAUUUCACUAUUAUUUAAGAUGCGAGCGAGAGUGCUAUUAGCUAUCGCUGUAUACAUUCUAUACAACACAAGGCUGAUGUGUGGUAAGCCUUAUAAUUAUCCGUUACUUUACAGGGAUCAUGUGUAUACCUCCUUAAGUAAGAACGGCGAGGAAAUGUUCUUUGCCGUCAACAUACAUCCAUCUUGUGCGAAAAAAAGGGGGGAGUGUAUUAAGAGGGAGCAAUGUCGCGAUAGGAAAAUACUUUAUAUCUCCCGAGUGUGCUAUAAACGAGAUUUGGUUUGCUGUUACGAUGAUACCAUUAAACGGCCCAAGGUUGGGAGGACGAAUUGCAAUAAUUGUUCGUCGGAAGAUUAUAUCGCUGAAUAUAAUUGAUGUUAAAAAUAUAAUAGCAUCUACAUAAUUUAAA